RNAcentral lists this ribosomal RNA (440 nucleotides) under uncultured soil bacterium. RNAcentral describes it as "bacterial SSU rRNA". It matches the Rfam family "Bacterial small subunit ribosomal RNA", at positions 26 to 492 of the family's 1533-position model. The record is from RNAcentral.
AGGACGAACGCUGGCGGCGUGCUUAACACAUGCAAGUCAAGGGGGUCUCGGGGGCAACCCUGGGAUAACCGGCGAACGGGUGCGUAGCACGUGAGCGACCUGCCGAUCUGCGGGGGAUAGCCGGCCCAACGGCCGGGUAAUACCGCAUACGCUUGGUUUGGGGCAUCCCUUUCCAAGGAAACUUCCGGGGCGAUCGAGGGGCUCGCGGCCUAUCAGCUAGUUGGCGCGGUAACGGCGCACCAAGGCGACGACGGGUAGCGUGGUCUGAGAGGAUGGCCAGCCACAUUGGGACUGAGAAACGGCCCAGACUCCUACGGAGGCAGUCAGUGGGAAUAGUUGCGCAAGUGGCCGCGAAGGCUGACGCAGCGACGCCGCGUGGUGGGACGACCGCCGUUUCGGGUACGUAAACCGACGUUGGUUCGCCCGGGAACGAACAACGU